This 75-nucleotide transfer RNA is filed under the name Candidatus Aenigmatarchaeota archaeon. RNAcentral describes it as "tRNA-Ile". It matches the Rfam family "tRNA". Rfam says of the family: Transfer RNA (tRNA) molecules are approximately 80 nucleotides in length. Their secondary structure includes four short double-helical elements and three loops (D, anti-codon, and T loops). Further hydrogen bonds mediate the characteristic L-shaped molecular structure. tRNAs have two regions of fundamental functional importance: the anti-codon, which is responsible for specific mRNA codon recognition, and the 3' end, to which the tRNAs corresponding amino acid is attached (by aminoacyl-tRNA synthetases). tRNAs cope with the degeneracy of the genetic code in two manners: having more than one tRNA (with a specific anti-codon) for a particular amino acid; and 'wobble' base-pairing, i.e. permitting non-standard base-pairing at the 3rd anti-codon position. Lineage: Archaea; Nanobdellati; Candidatus Aenigmatarchaeota. The record is from RNAcentral.
GGUCCCGUAGCUCAGCUUGGCUAGAGCGCACGACUGAUAAUCGUGAGGUCGUGGGUUCAAAUCCCACCGGGACCA